GGAUAGAGCUAGCGAAGUCGUUCGUAUUCAGCCGAAGGCCGGCGGUAUCGGCGUGCCGGGUUGCUAAUCAGCCUGGUCAUGCCUUUUGCUGCUGGUUGAGGUGUAUUUGCGGACGUUUGCGCUGAGACUUGCGGGCCAGCUUCUGGACCCGGGCCUAGAGGCCGUCCUUUGGGCGGAACUUGGGCACGGCGACGGUUGUUUGCGUUCUGCUCGUACCGCGGUCUGGCCUACGGGUUGGGGCGUAGCCGUUGUUGCCUAUAGGUGGCAUCGCUUGCGAUGUCUCUCUUGGCGGCCGCGGUUGCGUUCCGGCUCACGGACCGCUUCUCGGUGUAAAAGCUGGUCACUUAUCCGACCCGUCUUGAAACACGGACCAAGGAGUUUAGCGUAUACGCGAGCCAUUGGGUGUCAAAACCUACAGGCGCAAUGAAAGUGAAGGCCCAGUCGCUGGGUUGACAUGCGAGUUGGUGGCCCUCGGGCCGCCGAUGCAGCAUGGUCCCGUUCCGGUGGCUUGCCACGGAGCGGAGACAGAGCGUAUGCGCUGAG
Molecule: ribosomal RNA, 543 nt
Rfam family: Eukaryotic large subunit ribosomal RNA